GUGGUUGUGGCUCAGCGGUAGCGCGCUCACCUAGCACAUGUGAGGCCCUGAGUUCGAUCCUCAGCACCACA
RNAcentral lists this transfer RNA (71 nucleotides) under Ictidomys tridecemlineatus (thirteen-lined ground squirrel). RNAcentral describes it as "Spermophilus tridecemlineatus (thirteen-lined ground squirrel) tRNA". It matches the Rfam family "tRNA". Rfam says of the family: Transfer RNA (tRNA) molecules are approximately 80 nucleotides in length. Their secondary structure includes four short double-helical elements and three loops (D, anti-codon, and T loops). Lineage: Eukaryota; Metazoa; Chordata; Mammalia; Rodentia; Sciuridae. The record is from Rfam by way of RNAcentral.